This 1902-nucleotide ribosomal RNA is filed under the name Triticum aestivum (bread wheat). RNAcentral's name for it is "partial small subunit ribosomal RNA". The record is from RNAcentral. Lineage: Eukaryota; Viridiplantae; Streptophyta; Magnoliopsida; Poales; Poaceae.
AUGAUCACGGUGGCGGCGCUGACCGACGAGGCGUCCUCUGGCCCGAAAGAUUGGAGCGUGAAGAGGGAGAGUGACGCGCUGGGGCCAGCGGGGAAGACGCGCACGAAGAAACGGUCGCCGACGUUCCUGUGCUCGGGGGACCCCUGCCUCGACUUCUUCCGCGUGUUGCCCGCCACGCCGGCCGCCACCGUGGCCAGGCUCCUCGCUGCCGCGUGGGUCGCCGACCCGUCCACCGCGCUCCGCCUGGUCGCCAACCUCCGCGGCGUGCGGGGCUCCGGCAAGUCCGACCGCGAAAGCUUCUACGCCGCCGCGCUCUGGCUCCACGCCCGCCACCCCGCCACGCUCGCGCGCAACGCCGCCUCCGUCGCCGCCUUCGGCUACCUCAAGGAUCUCCCCGAGCUGCUCCACUGGAUCGUGCGCGGCGGCCUCUCCAACAAAGCAGAAAGGAGGACGGCCCUCCUUGCCACCGGCCGCCGCGGCCCCUUUGGCCUCGGGCGCUACCGCAACUCACUCGGGCGCACCCGCAACUUCCGCAAGCGCAGGCCGCGCCCCAAGGUGGACCGUGCUGCGCGCGUCGGCACGGCGGAGGAGCGCCUCGCGGCAAAGCUGCGGCACGACCGGGAGCUCUCGGCUGCGGCGGCCGUGUCGCGCCGGAGCAAGAGGGUGGGUACCGCUGCGACGGCGAUUCGGCGUUACCGAUGCGACCCCACGUACCGGUUCCUGCACGACCGUACGGCCGACCUGUUCGCCAGCCUCCUCGUGGAGGACAUGCGCAAGCUCGCCAACGACGACGUCCGGGAGCUCUCGCUCGCGGCGAAGUGGUGCCCGUCGCUAGGCUCGUCGUACGACCGCUCCACUCUCCUCUGCGAGGCCGUCGCGCGACGCCUCUUCCCCAGGGGCUCGUCGCCAGAGCUCGCGGAUGAUCUCCCCGACGAACCUUACGCUUAUCGUGCGCGCGAGCGCCUCCGUAGGACGGCGCUCGUGCCGCUCCGCCGCGCGCUACAGCUCCCCGAGGUCUUCAUGUCGGCGCGGGCGUGGGAGUCCGUCGUGUACACGCGCGUGGCCUCGGUGGCCAUGAAGAACUACCAGGCCGUCUUCCUCAAGCACGACGCCGAGCGCUUCAACGCUUACCUCGCCGAUGUCAAGUCCAGCAAGAAGCGGAUCGCUGCGGGCGCGCUGCUCCCUCACCAGAUCAUCGAGUCCCUCGGCGAGGACGGCGACGGUGCCGGCACCGGCGUGGCCGACAUGCAGUGGCGGCGCAUGGUCGACGACAUGCGCGCCCUCGGCAAGCUCACCAACUGCUUGGCCGUGUGCGACGUGUCCGGCAGCAUGUCCGGCCUGCCCAUGGACGUCUGCGUCGCGCUCGGCCUCCUCGUGUCCGAGCUCACGGACGACCCGUGGAGCGGCCGCGUGAUCACCUUCAGCGAGCGCCCGGAGAUCCACUUGAUCACCGGCGACACCCUCUCCGAGAAGGUGGGCUUCAUGCGCGCCAUGGACUGGGGCAUGAACACAAACUUCCAGGCGGUGUUCGACAAGAUCCUCGAGGUGGCCGUGGGCGCCGGCCUGCCGCCGGAGAGGAUGGUAAGGCGGGUGUUCGUGUUCAGCGACAUGGAGUUCGACCAGGCAUCGGCUCAUCCGUGGGAGACAGACUACGAGGCGAUCGUGAGGAAGUUCUCGGAAGCCGGCUACGGCUCGGCCGUGCCAGAGAUAGUGUUCUGGAACCUGGCGUACUCCAAGGCCGUGCCGGUGAUGUCCGGCCAGAAAGGGGUGGCGCUGGUGAGCGGGUUCUCCAAGAACUUGCUCAAGCUGUUCCUCGACGGCGGCGGCAUCGUCACCCCGAGGACCAUCAUGGAGAAGGCCAUCGUCGGCCCGGAGUACGACAAGCUCACCGUUUUCGAUUGA